UAUGACAUAAAACUCAUUUAUUAUAAUUAUAAAUAUAAGAAAUUUAACUCACAUUUUUAGUAUAGCAAUAGAAAUAUUUAAAUAUUAAAAAGUAAAUAUAU
RNAcentral lists this ribosomal RNA (101 nucleotides) under Orobdella whitmani. RNAcentral's name for it is "partial 16S ribosomal RNA". The record is from RNAcentral. Lineage: Eukaryota; Metazoa; Annelida; Clitellata; Hirudinida; Orobdellidae.